GCUGGGUAUGGUGGUGCACACCUGUAGUCCUAGCUACUUGGGAGGCUGAGGUGGGAGGAUCACUUGAGCCUGGGAGUUUAAGGCUGCGGUGAGCUAUGAUUAUACCACUGCACUCCAGCCUGGGCAACACAGUGAGAACUUGUCUCAA
Molecule: unclassified non-coding RNA, 148 nt
Organism: Macaca fascicularis (crab-eating macaque)
Lineage: Eukaryota; Metazoa; Chordata; Mammalia; Primates; Cercopithecidae
Rfam family: Metazoan signal recognition particle RNA
About the family: The signal recognition particle (SRP) is a universally conserved ribonucleoprotein. It is involved in the co-translational targeting of proteins to membranes.
Source: Ensembl